Hylaeus volcanicus is the source of this 2004-nucleotide RNA transcript. It is a transcript of the gene named vacuolar protein sorting-associated protein 26-like, with no coding region annotated. The record is from RefSeq and is a predicted model, not a curated record. NCBI's taxonomy places the organism in Eukaryota, Metazoa, Arthropoda, Insecta, Hymenoptera, Colletidae. The transcript has 8 exons.
AGGCUCAAGUCCUGUGAAUGGCGUCCAAAAAUACAUGAAAAAUACAAUUGUUCAAAGCCUUACCUUCAUAAAAAAACCCAAAUUCUUCUGGUAUUUCACCAUCAGCACAAUUAGAGUCAGCAACAUUCUUUGUUUUUUUCUUGUCACUCCGCUUUGUGACAUUUUCCACGUAUUGCGUGGACACAUGAAAUAACAUUCUUAGACGUAAUUGUGAUGAAUUCAAAAAAUGAAAAUAACCCGUACACAACCUUUUUAUACAGCUCAUUUUCAAAUAAUAAAAGCUUUUGUUAUAAUACGACGUGAAUUUUGGCAAAACUACUGAUGCUUGUAAAACCUAUCCCUACAGUUUUGAAAACGCAGAUGUAUUCUACUCAAUUUUCAAAAAUAAUCCUCGAGUAUACUUUUUUAUGAAACUUUAGAAAAAAGUUCGCAAAUUUUUUUUUGAAAGUCUAGGACUAUAGCAAUACAAAAAAAAAGAAAAAAUUGUAAAACAUGUUUGUACUACUUACCCUUUCAGAUGAUUUUAUUUAAACAACAAUUAAACCUUUUUUAAAACACACAGACUGUAUGUUAGACUGGUAAUUUUCACAGAACAAAAAGAAUACGUUAAAUCUGUUUUUUGUUUGGUUAUUUAUUGGCACGAUUAGUGCUCUGGAUGUAUAAUUUGAAUAAAAACAACACAUUAAAAUUUUUUUGAAUUAUGCUUUCAGCUAUUUUUUCCAGCGGAUGUACUAUUGAUUUAAUUCUUGAUCGCGAAAACAAUCGUCAGUGUGGUAUAGUCAAUGCGUUGGAGAAACGACAAGAAAAGAGAAAAACGGCGCUCAUUUUUAAUAAUUAUGAAGAUGUUAGUGGUACAGCAGUUAUAAAUAUAAGCCCAGCCCGUAAAUUAGAGCAUUACGGAAUUCGUGUUGAGCUGAUAGGCCAAUUGAAUGUGUAUAAAGACACCAAUGUGCCUUACUGUUUUUUUGCUAUUUUCAAAGAUCUUGACUCUCCUGGUUGUUUAUAUGAAUCUAAAACCUAUCACUGGAAACUUCAAGGAGUAGAAAAAGAAUAUGAAACAUACUGGGGCGUCAAUGUUUCUGUGAGAUACUUUGUUCGAUUAUGUGUGGUUCAAAAAUACGGUUCAACGUUGAUGAAAGAAGUAGAUCUUAUUGUUCAAAAUCCGGUUCAAAUUGUUCCCGAAUCUGAAAAAGUAAAAAUGGAGUCUCUAUAAUAAUAAGUUUGUUUUGCAAAAGGUUGGAAUUGAAGGUUGUCUACAUAUAGAAUUUGAGUAUGAUAAGCUUUACUAUCAUUUAAAGGAUGUGGUUCGAGGCAAAAUUAAUUUUUUACUUGUCCGAAUUAAAUUAAAGUAUAUGGAAAUCCACAUUGUUAAAACAGAAACUGUAAAGGGAUCUUAUCAGCAGUAUACAACUACAGAUAUUAUUGGAAAAUUUGAAGUUAUGGAUGGUUCACCACUUAAAUUAGAAUGUAUACCCGUUCGCUUAUAUCUUUGCUGUUAUGAUUUAACUCCAACGUACAAUAAUAUACAAAAUCGUUAUUCCGUUAAAUAUUACUUAAAUAUUGUUUUGGUGGAUGAAGAAGAAAGAAGGUAUUUCAAACGACAUGAUAUCACGUUAUAUCGGAAAGAAAUAACGUAACAAAAUUUUUUGAAAAAUUGAAACAAAUUAUUAAUGUCUACUAUAACUUUUAACGUCACUAUUUAAAGGAAUGAGUUCUUUGUUUUACGGACGUUUUAAGGUAAUAGGAAGUUGUUUUUCUUUUUCUUAAAGUUUUUUCGAAAAACAUUGUAAUGUGUCAAAGCAUUGUUGAAUAAUUUAUUAUUAUCAAAUGGGUGAUUUAUCCCCAACUGCACUAAAAUAGUGGUUAAACCAGUCGAAUGUACACUACAAAAGACUGUAUCGAUUUGUUACUGGUAUGUUUUUGAAAGAUGAUUAUUGACCCUCUUAGUAUAAAAAAGAGUUUUUUGUUCUAUAAAAAUAAAUGUUUUUUUUUCAAUAUUUUGUU